Molecule: ribosomal RNA, 371 nt
Filed under: uncultured bacterium
Lineage: Bacteria
Description: bacterial SSU rRNA
Rfam family: Bacterial small subunit ribosomal RNA
Source: RNAcentral
AACGAACGCUGGCGGCAUGCCUAACACAUGCAAGUCGAACGGGAUCCGAGCUUCGGUUCGGUGAGAGUGGCGGACGGGUGAGUAACGCGUGGGAACCUGCCCAGUGGUGGGGGAUAACUGCGGGAAACUGCAGCUAAUACCGCAUGAGCCCGAGAGGGGAAAGAUUUAUCGCCAUUGGAGGGGCCCGCGUUCGAUUAGGUAGUUGGUGAGGUUACGGCUCACCAAGCCUUCGAUCGAUAGCUGGUCUGAGAGGAUGAUCAGCCACACUGGGACUGAGAUACGGCCCAGACUCCUACGGGAGGCAGCAGUGGGGAAUAUUGGACAAUGGGGGGCAACCCUGAUCCAGCAAUGCCGCGUGAGUGAUGAAGGCC